This 1020-nucleotide ribosomal RNA is filed under the name uncultured Neocallimastigales. Its description in RNAcentral is "partial large subunit ribosomal RNA". The stretch from base 238 to 1020 matches the Rfam family "Eukaryotic large subunit ribosomal RNA", at positions 1 to 647 of the family's 3401-position model. Lineage: Eukaryota; Fungi; Neocallimastigomycota; Neocallimastigomycetes; Neocallimastigales. The record is from RNAcentral.
CUAUACAUGACUCUGCGCAUAUCAAUAAGCGGAGGAAAAGGUACCUACGCUUAGGAUGUUGACGAGACUGUCGAUCUCAUCUAUACACGACUCUGUGCAUAUCAAUAAGCGGAGGAAAAGUCAAUACCUACGCUUAGGAUGUUGACGAGACUGUCGAUCUCAUCUAUACAUGACUCUGUCGCAUAUCAAUAAGCGGAGGAAAAGCUAUACCUACGCUUAGGAUGUUGACGAGACUGUCGAUCUCAUCUAUACAUGACUCUGCGCAUAUCAAUAAGCGGAGGAAAAGAAACUAACAAGGAUUCCCCUAGUAACGGCGAGUGAAGCGGGAAGAGCUCAAAUUUGAAAUCUUCAAGGUUUGACCUUGACGAAUUGUAGUUUAAAGAAGUGUUUUCGGUUAGAGGAGUAGUAAAAGUUCUUUGGAAUAGGACAUCAUAGAGGGUGAGAAUCCCGUAUUUGACUAUUCUUUCUAGCUUUGUGAUACACUUUCAAAGAGUCGGAUUGUUUGGGAAUGCAGUCCAAAAUGGGUGGUAAAUUUCAUCUAAAGCUAAAUAUUGGCGAGAGACCGAUAGCGAACAAGUACCGUGAGGGAAAGAUGAAAAGAACUUUGAAAAGAGAGUUAAACAGUACGUGAAAUUGUCAAAAGGGAAGCGUUUGACACCAGUGUUGUUUUUCCGAAAAUCAAUUAAAAAUUGAUUCAUGCUAGGUUGUAUUGACCUCAUCAGCUUGCAAUUUAGUUUUGGGUCUCUUUUUGAUGCACUUUUCGGUUAACAAGUCAACAUCAAUUUCCUUUGCUGUAAAAAGGUAAGAGGAAGGUGGCUUCAAUUUCGGUUGAAGUGUUUAUAGCCUUUUAUCUCUGCAGUCGGGGAGAUUGAGGUCUGCAGCGUAGAUCCUUCGGGGCUAGAUACAUUUAUGCUAAGUUAUAGCUUUUCAUAGACAACUUGUUGACUAUGUUUAGUCAUGUAGCUUACUCGUAAGUGCUAUUUUACCUACGCUUAGGAUGUUGACGAGACUGUCGAUCUC